AUUGAACGCUGGCGGCAGGCCUAACACAUGCAAGUCGAGCGGAUGAAGGGAGCUUGCUCCUGGAUUCAGCGGCGGACGGGUGAGUAAUGCCUAGGAAUCUGCCUGGUAGUGGGGGAUAACGUCCGGCAACGGGCGCUAAUACCGCACACGCGCUGCGGGAGAAAGUGCGGGAUCUUCGGACCUCACGCUCUCUGAUGUGCCUAGGUCGGAUUAGCUAGUUGGUGGGGUAAAGGCCUACCAAGGCGACGAUCCGUAACUGGUCUGAGAGGAUGAUCAGUCACACUGGAACUGAGACACGGUCCAGACUCCUACGGGAGGCAGCAGUGGGGAAUAUUGGACAAUGGGCGAAAGCCUGAUCCAGCCAUGCCGCGUGUGUGAAGAAGGUCUUCGGAUUGUAAAGCACUUUAAGUUGGGAGGAAGGGCAGUAAGUUAAUACCUUGCUGUUUUGACGUUACCAACAGAAUAAGCACCGGCUAACUUCGUG
RNAcentral lists this ribosomal RNA (484 nucleotides) under uncultured bacterium. Its description in RNAcentral is "partial 16S ribosomal RNA". It matches the Rfam family "Bacterial small subunit ribosomal RNA", at positions 30 to 507 of the family's 1533-position model. The record is from RNAcentral.